RNAcentral lists this ribosomal RNA (497 nucleotides) under uncultured bacterium. RNAcentral describes it as "partial 16S ribosomal RNA". It matches the Rfam family "Bacterial small subunit ribosomal RNA", at positions 28 to 507 of the family's 1533-position model. The record is from RNAcentral.
GACGAACGCUGGCGGCGUGCCUAAUACAUGCAAGUUGAGCGAUGAAGAUUGGUGCUUGCACCAAUUUGAAGAGCAGCGAACGGGUGAGUAACGCGUGGGGAAUCUGCCUUUGAGCGGGGGACAACAUUUGGAAACGAAUGCUAAUACCGCAUAACAACUUUGAACAUAAGUUUUAAGUUUGAAAGAUGCAAUUGCAUCACUCAAAGAUGAUCCCGCGUUGUAUUAGCUAGUUGGUGAGGUAAAGGCUCACCAAGGCGAUGAUACAUAGCCGACCUGAGAGGGUGAUCGGCCACAUUGGGACUGAGACACGGCCCAAACUCCUACGGGAGGCAGCAGUAGGGAAUCUUCGGCAAUGGACGAAAGUCUGACCGAGCAACGCCGCGUGAGUGAAGAAGGUUUUCGGAUCGUAAAACUCGGUUGGUAGAGAAGAACGUUGGUGAGAGUGGAAAGCUCAUCAAGUGACGGUAACUACCCAGAAAGGGACGGCUAACUACGUG